RNAcentral lists this long non-coding RNA (3558 nucleotides) under Apteryx haastii (Great spotted kiwi). RNAcentral describes it as "lncRNA (ENSAHAG00000000776.1)". Lineage: Eukaryota; Metazoa; Chordata; Aves; Apterygiformes; Apterygidae. The record is from RNAcentral.
UAACUCCGACGCCUCCCGGGGCGCCCUUUGGGGACGAUGCUCGCUGCAGCGGUCGGGACGUCGGGGCUGGGAGGAUCGUUGAUUUUCAGCUGCGUUACCCAGAAACCCACGCGCGCUCGUCGCGCCUCGGGAGGGCGCGCGGCAUCGCCGGUCACCCGAGUGCCUCGGACGUGAUUUAAAGCCUCGCAACAGCCCCGUGAGGUAGAUGUUAUCCUUGAAGCAGGCGCGCGAGGAGGAAGGAAUGCGCUKAAGACGAGCGGGACGUCCGGCAGCYGCUGCCCGAAACCCGAGCGGGAUGUCCGGCACCUCGGCAUCGUCGCUGGCCGUGGGACCGCGCCGCAGCGGAGCAGGGCAGAGGGAAACGUCUCCUCUGGCAGCAAGGAAAAAACAUCAAGACGCACAUGAACUAAUCCUCACGCACAGCAAGUACAAGAAGAGAAAGCACGGACAUAAAAGCGUCUCCUGUCGAGCCCUAGCUGUGUGGCAAAGGAAAUCCUGUACCAGUCUCUUAAAUUUUCUUUAACCUUCCAUAGUGCAAAUGGUACCUUAGCACAAAGCAGUCUCUCGUUACAGAAGUUUUUACAGUGAACAUUCAGCGUUCCCGAGUCAGAUGCUUCGCUUCGCUCCUGCCGUUCGGGAAGAAUCGCAUCUCCUCUCACCAUCAGCUCCGGCCUUCGCGCCACUCCUCGGCUCCGGCACGGUGACGUUCGGGCCUUGGCGGGAAGGACGGGCUCCAGGCGGGGACGGGCUGCGCGGCCGGGGCGCCGGCGCCGCUGGGAAACGCUCCGCGGCUCCUCCCGAGGUUCCUCCUGGGAGCCGCGGCAGGAGCUGGCGAAGCGAACCCAGCCGUUGGGGGACGCGGACGUUGCCAGAGCGCCGGCCGCGCUGGCGCCCAGCGGAGGUGCCGGGAAGCUGCCGGGAGUCCCAGGGCUCGGCGAGGCCAGUGCCRGGAAGCCGUCCUGGGUUGGAAAGAGCCGGCGGCGCGCGCGUUCCCCGGGAAGGGCCACGUGACUCCAAGUAUGUGGCCCGGGGCCAUAUCUCAGGUCAGCGAAGAACGACGCCGUCUGCAAACUGGACCGGGCUCAAGCAUGUAACGAUGGUCGCGGAGGAAGGGAGGGAGGGAGGGAUCGAUCCCAGCCGGAGCUCGGCUUCGCUCCACCUGGAAUGGUGCUGCCUCACCCGGGGGCUUUGCGCCCGUUCCCGGCCGCUUCGGAGCGCCCUUUUCCCGGCACGUGGAUCCGCUCCCUGGUGCUUCCGGCCGCUGUGGCUGGUGUCUCGGCGGUGCCCGGGAGGGGGGAACUGGCCCGGCUGCUGGAGGGGGCAGGACGGUGCUUUCGCCUCGCUUGGCCGUGGCCGCGUGCGGCGGGAUGCGGGGAGCCGGCGCAGCCCGGCCCUUUGCAGCAAUGGAGGGGGGAGGCGAUGGCGGCUGCGGCCGGGCGYGAUCGGAAACCGCUGGGGAGAAACGAACCCGGGGAGCCGCACGAUAAACCUGCGAGCGGCUUCCCCGCUGCGGCUGGUACCGGAAUGGCCCCUUCCUCAUCUCCAAGGCGGAAAGCCCCGGCGGCGCGGGCGGGCAGGGAGAUCCCCCCUCUGCGACACGGGAUGCUGCCCCCUCCUCGGGCGCUCCGCGGAGAGRGACCGGCACGGCCGGAGGGAGCAGCUCCCCAAAAGGCACUAAACAGCAGGGAGAGGGGAUGCGUYGCCCUCCCGGUCCGGCUGCCGGCGGUUGGGGGGGAUGUUUCCCCUGGGGGAGGCCGGGCAGGGGAGGGAGGCUUGCGUCGGCGUCUCGCGCAAUAUCCGACGGCCGCUCGGACGCGGCCGUCGCCGGAGCCAGCAACGAGCCGUCUAAGUGCCGGUGCGGGGCGUCGGGGGGCUCCGGCCCCUGCCAGCCCCGAGGCCGCCAGCCUUCCUCCCCGCGGGGCCGGGAGCCGCGGCGCGGCGGCGCCUGCUGCUGCUCGAGGCGGCCCGCCUGCGGCUCGGUGCUUUGCGGCCCGUGCGGUGCCUGGCGCCCCGGCCCGGCCGCGGAGGCUCCCGACGAGACCCCCGACCUGCCCCAUGGGCGUCUUCCUCCUCCGGGGGCAUCAGCGUGGAAACGGGAUCUCCACUCCCCSGCAAAGCGCCCAGCCGUCGUUUUCGACCCUGCCCCGCACCCAGCGGCGCGAGGAAGAGCCGUUCCCGUUCCCGACUCCUGCCAAGAGCUCAAGCUGCAGGAUUUAUUUGGCUUGCGCGCGCAGAAACCCCCCCGCGCCGCAGCAGCGGGAGGUUAAAGGGCAGCGAUGGYCGGAGCCGGAGCAGAUGGACUAAACGAGGUGCCUCGAGGUGGCAACGGCRGCGGCGCUUCCUGAUCCCCGCGCCGCUUCCUUCCCUUUCCCUCGGCGCGCGGCUCCCUUCCGUCCCCUCUGUCGGCGCUGGCUCCACCACGGGGCUCCCGUUGCUCCCUUUCGGGCCCGGCCGCUUACGCCUCUCUGCACGGUGCGCCGGGAACCCGAAGCACCCAGCGCCCUAAGUGCUUCGGCGCUCGGCUCCGCGGGGCCGCCGCCGCCUCCCCGCUCUCCGGAGCGGCCUCGUCUUCGUAAGCGCUUUGAGCCGGGGACAAGUGCUAAAUAUCCCGGCCCCACGGUGCUUCCCCGGAGCCGGUGGCUCCGUCGGCGCUGCGCUGCAUCUCGCCCGGAGCGGUCCCUAAGUGCUACGCGGGAGUACGGACGUGCCGAGGGACGGCGGGUGCUGCCGGCCGGGGGGAGAGGAAGAGCUGCAGGAGCAUCCCGGAGCCGGAGCCGCCUAACGCCCGGCCCCUUCGGAUAAGUGCUAGGGCCGGGCCGCGGGGCUCUUCCGUGCAGGAGGCGGUUUCCUUCCCAGCGCGGCGGGCAGGGAGGUGCCGGGGCCGCGGCGUGCCGUGCUGUGCCGGCAGCCUGGCGCCGGGGCCGGCCGCCCCGCGACGGCUCCCAGAUGGGAGCAGCGCCGUCGCCGCUUGCAUCACUCGGGUGGCGGCGGCGUGAGCGGAGGGGAGACGCCGGAGCAGCGGGGACGGAUGAACUCUUGAGAAACCGGGAUCCUGUUCUCAUGCGAAAAUAAUCCAAACAUCGAGGGCAGAGGGGGAGGCAAAUGUGCCGCAUAAGCAGAAUUUCUCCCCAGCCAGCGCCUCCGUCCAGUUCUGGCCCGUGCCUCCUCCAGAUAACCCCGCUCCGUCGCCCGUCCUCCCUCCGGCAGCGAAGACGGGGCCCCGGCUCGGAGGAGCCCCACGGAGCUGCCCGGCUCCCGCGGCCGCUUUGCGGGAGCRCCGGGGCCAACGCGUGCGGUGUCCUGCAGGCAGCCGGCGGCGCCGGGGCUGAAGCGCGGAGGCGGCUCGCGUGGGAGUCGAUGCCAUCGAGCCGUCCCCGUCCUGGGGCCCGGGGGCUGCCGGCGGCGGAUGCCACCAGCCGGUCCCCGAGGGCACGGCGGGACCGGGGCGCCGAGGGAGGGGAGAGGCCAGCGCCCGCCCCAGCGGGGUUGCCAGCGGCAGAGCGCUAGCCGGAAGGGUUAAUUAAUAAAUAAAUAAAUUAAACAAGGGAGACGGGUCCC